AUGGUAUAUGCAGGACAACAGGGGGAUCAGGCCCAGCCAGCAUGGGUUCGUGAAGGGCAGGUCCUGCUUGACCAGCCUCAUCUCCUUCUGUGACAAGGUGACCCACAAAGUGAAUGUGGGAAAGGCUUCUGAUGUAGUCUACCUCAACUUCAGCAAAGCCUUCAACACUGUCUUCCACAGUGUUCUCCCAGGGAAGCUGGCAGCCCAUGGCUUGGACAGAUACACUCUUUGCUGGGUAAAGAACUGGCUGGAUGGCCAGGCCUGGAGAUUGGUGGUGAAUGCAGUCACAUCCAGCUGGUGACUGGUCACGUCACGAGUGAUGCUCCCCAGAGGUCUCAGAGAAGAGUGGCAUUUCCUAUGGAUUAACUUACUUAGAUAAACACUGUUAUCUGUGCCUUCCCUUCCGUGGGAAAUAUCUCUACGAGAAAUGCCACACUAUACAACAGAAAUAGGAAUUUACUUGCCAUCGAGGUCUUCAUCUUUAUCAUCUUUGGCAUCAUCUUUAGAACUGUUUGGAGCCACAGUACGUGUGAAGCUUCAGGGAAAAUUCUGGAUAUGCUCAAAUGAAUUUUUGAACAAUGGGGUAAUGCGUCUUCACUCUCCAGAAGGUCAAGGUGACCACAUCCCUUGCUGUGCUCGUUUGUGCAGCUGCCUUGGAGUUAGACUUGGUUCUCAGCCUACAUGUUGUGCACUCAGGUGGACUGAGCCAGAGCUGUUCAAAUAACUACAAACUACCUUUGACACAAUGCAAGGUGUGCUCCUUGCAGAGGCAAUAGUGUUUGUCAGGUCAUGUGGAACUGCAUAUCUUGAACCGUGCAUUCAAAUGUCAGCAGCUAUUGUUAGACCACUUCAUAAAUGAAUAAGAAACAUUUUCUUCAUCAGCCCAGAAGGUUACAGAAAACCCUCUGCAUCUGGCAAUGUCUUUCUUGCAGCCAUGGAGCAAAGAUGAAUGGGUAGAGGGUGAAAACAGAAAGAGAGAUUUUGCCAAUCUGCUUGUGAUUUAGAAAAAGCUUAAUUCAUAAAUGUCAUGGAAGCGGUGUGUUCUUACUGAGCAAAAACAAUACUGUUCUCCACGUCUUCCUUCUUAAUCUUUUUUAUGCUGGGAAAAGAGAAGGCAAAUGUUAAACAAUUAAAAGCAAAUCUUCU
Long non-coding RNA from Gallus gallus (chicken), 1146 nucleotides. The record is from Ensembl. NCBI's taxonomy places the organism in Eukaryota, Metazoa, Chordata, Aves, Galliformes, Phasianidae.